This 77-nucleotide transfer RNA is filed under the name Podarcis lilfordi (Lilford's wall lizard). Its description in RNAcentral is "tRNA.Ile". The stretch from base 8 to 66 matches the Rfam family "tRNA", at positions 8 to 63 of the family's 71-position model. From Rfam's summary of the family: Transfer RNA (tRNA) molecules are approximately 80 nucleotides in length. Their secondary structure includes four short double-helical elements and three loops (D, anti-codon, and T loops). The record is from RNAcentral. Lineage: Eukaryota; Metazoa; Chordata; Lepidosauria; Squamata; Lacertidae.
GCCUGGAUAGCUCAAUUGGUUAGAGCAUGGUGCUGAUAGCACCAAGGUUUCAGGUUCAAUCCCUGUAUGGGAUGGCU